AUCAAAAACAUGGCUUCUUGCUUUUUUAAAUAAAAGAGGUUUGGCCUGCCCGGUGAAAAUUUAAACGGUCGCAGCUGCUACUGUGCGAAGGUAGCGCAAUAGAUUGUCCUUUAAUUGGGGGAAAGUAUGAAUGGUUAGAUGGUUGGAAGGACUUUAUUUGGAGUAUGUGUCGAAAUUUACUUUAAAGUGAAAAGGCUUUAAUAAAUUUAUUAGACGAGAAGACCCUGUUGAGCUUAAUAUUACUAACUCGUAGGCGGGUUAGUGGUACAUUUAUUCGGGGCUGAAAAGAAGGAAAAGUUAUGCCUUUUACUUUGUAUAAAGAUCCAAUAAGAUUGAGUAGUAGAAGAUAGUUACCACAGGGAUAACAGCGCAAUCUUCUUGAUAAGAUCUUAUUUAAGGGAAGGAUUGCGACCUCGAUGUUGAAUCAGAAUUUCUAUUUGGUGCAGAAGCUAGGUAAGUAGGACUGUUCGUCCUUUAAAAUUCUACGUGAUCUGAGGUUCAGACCCGG
Molecule: ribosomal RNA, 508 nt
Filed under: Quadrans gargadia
Lineage: Eukaryota; Metazoa; Mollusca; Bivalvia; Cardiida; Tellinidae
Description: partial 16S ribosomal RNA
Rfam family: Bacterial large subunit ribosomal RNA
Source: RNAcentral